UUUUGUGCAAGACAGAGGGACAGGAAAAAUAAUCUUGACCUUCUGUAGAAGUUUAAAUGGAAACUUAAAGAUACCAGGCAUUCCUACAGGACGGAGAGGCUGCUUUUCAAUGAAAGAAUGGCACAGAUCCUUUUGCUAACAACAAGAUUCUCCGUCUUAUUAUCUUCAUGGAAUAUUAAAGCAAUGUAACACGUUGAAACAAUAUUGCAAAGGUUAUGACUGCAAUGUCUUUGACUCUAAUUAUGCCCUGCCUAUCUCUCUUCUGCCAAAGCCUAAAGUUGCUCUCACCUCAGUAGCUCUAGUUCCCAGCCACCAGCCUCCUCCUACCAUCAGUGGAGAUAAAAUCAUGUCAUCUCACAGCACUUAAUUCUGUUCCUAGAGUGUACCUAAUGAGUGUCCUGUUUGACCAGACUCCUCCAUUACCAGUGUUGGUUUCAGGUGAGGUGAAGCCAUUAUGUUCCGUGGUUGUCUCUUUACCUCAACUACAGCUAAUCAGAAGAGGGUCAAACAGACCUUUUAAAAUACCCACACAGAAAUUACUCAGUAAAGUGAAACAUUUUCUAACACUUUCUUGCCUUUUUCUCUCCUAAAACAAUUAUUAUCAUCUCUUAAUUGAGUUGUCACAGAUUCCAAGGUGUGUUGAUUACAGCUUUACGGGUUGUCAUUUGUGCGCUAAUCAUGUCUCAAUGACUUUCUCAGCUGUCUGGACUGAAGACUUUGCCUGUUUAAAAUGUUUUGGAAUCCAUCCACUUUGGCUUUUCUCUGGAUUUUUCAUGGCAUUGAAAAAUGCAGUUGGACAUUUAUCCCACUUAUUGGAGCCCUCAAUUUUAUUUCCAUCUGGAAUCACACACCAAUACUUGUGGGGCAAUUAACUUGGCUGAGGAAACUAUUAUGGAACUGGUCCUUUGAACUUACUGAAUGUCUACUUAAUAGGGCCACGAAGACCAGCAGGAUAUGAAACAACACUUCCAUUGUCAUUCUUCCAAGCCACUACAUUGGAAAUAUUAAUGGAGGUAAGCAUUAAGUGCCAGUAUAUGUGUUAUGUUCCCACUAGUGCUUUAUUCCUUUAAUGUCUUUUGUUUUACUGAUAUUGAUAGCAGUGCUUCCAGGCAAUGGGACUGGGGAUUUUUUUUUUUUAGUGUCUCUAAAUGAAGUAAGACUAGUAUGGAGAUUGCUGGUAAAACAGGCCGCCUGUAAGUGAGUAAAACUGCGAUGCAUGCCUAAUCUCAAGUGCUUUUAUGGCCAUCAACACCAGAGGCUGUG
This 1263-nucleotide long non-coding RNA is filed under the name Coturnix japonica (Japanese quail). RNAcentral describes it as "lncRNA (ENSCJPG00005004809.1)". Lineage: Eukaryota; Metazoa; Chordata; Aves; Galliformes; Phasianidae. The record is from RNAcentral.